CGGCUCAGUAACACGUGGAUAACCUACCCUCAGAUCUGGGAUAACUCCGGGAAACUGGAGAUAAUACCGGAUAAUCCGUGAACGCUGGAAUGCCUUACGGUUGAAAGCUUUAGCGUCUGAGGACGGGUCUGCGGCCGAUUAGGUAGUUGCUGGGGUAACGUCCCAACAAGCCGAUAAUCGGUACGGGUUGUGAGAGCAAGAGCCCGGAGAUGGAUUCUGAGACACGAAUCCAGGUCCUACGGGGCGCAGCAGGCGCGAAAACUUUACACUGCGCGAAAGCGCGAUAAGGGGACCUCGAGUGCGUGCGCAAAGCGUACGCUUUUCAGAUGCCUAAAAAGCAUCUGGAAUAAGGGCCGGGCAAGACCGGUGCCAGCCGCCGCGGUAACACCGGCGGCUCAAGUGGUGGCCGCUAUUAUUGGGCUUAAAGGGUCCGUAGCCGGACCAGUUAGUCCCUUGGGAAAUCUUACGGCUUAACCGUAAGGCUGCCAAUGGAUACUGCUGGUCUUGGGACCGGGAGAGGCAAGAGGUACCUCAGGGGUAGGAGUGAAAUCCUGUAAUCCUUGAGGGACCGCCAGUGGCGAAGGCGUCUUGCUAGAACGGGUCCGACGGUGAGGGACGAAAGCUAGGGGCACGAACCGGAUUAGAUACCCGGGUAGUCCUAGCCGUAAA
This 669-nucleotide ribosomal RNA is filed under the name uncultured euryarchaeote. Its description in RNAcentral is "bacterial SSU rRNA". It matches the Rfam family "Archaeal small subunit ribosomal RNA", at positions 83 to 757 of the family's 1478-position model. The record is from RNAcentral. Lineage: Archaea; Methanobacteriati; Methanobacteriota.